CAGCCGCCGCGGUAAUACGUAGGUCCCGAGCGUUGUCCGGAUUUAUUGGGCGUAAAGCGAGCGCAGGCGGUUAGAUAAGUCUGAAGUUAAAGGCUGUGGCUUAACCAUAGUACGCUUUGGAAACUGUUUAACUUGAGUGCAAGAGGGGAGAGUGGAAUUCCAUGUGUAGCGGUGAAAUGCGUAGAUAUAUGGAGGAACACCGGUGGCGAAGGCGACUCUCUGGUCUGUAACUGACGCUGAGGAGCGAAAGCGUGGGGAACGAACAGGAUUAGAUACCCCGGUAGUCCCUGUCUCUUAUACA
RNAcentral lists this ribosomal RNA (301 nucleotides) under uncultured bacterium. RNAcentral's name for it is "partial 16S ribosomal RNA". It matches the Rfam family "Bacterial small subunit ribosomal RNA", at positions 509 to 808 of the family's 1533-position model. The record is from RNAcentral.